GAUUAACGCUGGCGGCGUGCCUAACACAUGCAAGUCGAGCGGCAGCGAGUUUUACACUGAAUUCUGGAAGCUUCUAGUUGAAAGAGAAGAUUUAUUCAAGAAUUUUGUGUAAAAUGUCGGCGAGCGGCGGACGGCUGAGUAACGCGUGGGAACGUACCCCAAAGUGAGGGAUAACGCAUCGAAAGGUGUGCUAAUACCGCAUAUGGUCUUCGGAUUAAAGCCUUCGGGCGCUUUGGGAACGGCCUGCGUUAGAUUAGUUCGUUGGUGGGGUAAUGGCCUACAAAGUCGACUAUCUUUAACUGGUUUGAGAGGAUGAUCAGUCAGACUGGAACUGAGACACGGUCCAGACUCCUACGGGAGGCAGCAGUGAGGAAUCUUCCACAAUGGGCGAAAGCCUGAUGGAGCAACGCCGCGUGCAGGAUGAAGGCCUUCGGGUUGUAAACUGCUUUUAUAAGUGAGGAUUAUGACAGUAACUUAUGAAUAAGGAUCGGCCAACUACGUG
RNAcentral lists this ribosomal RNA (502 nucleotides) under uncultured bacterium. RNAcentral's name for it is "partial 16S ribosomal RNA". It matches the Rfam family "Bacterial small subunit ribosomal RNA", at positions 28 to 507 of the family's 1533-position model. The record is from RNAcentral.